CCCAGCGCUGCCAUUGAGGAGCAUUUACUCAGUGAGUGGAAGAGGUUUGUUUGAAGCAGACCGCAAUGGAGAGACCAGCGCCCAGGGAAGCGAGGGAACAGCAGGCUCCUUCCAGCAGCACAUCGAGAUGAACAAGACAAUGUAAUAUUUGCUCAGUACAAAGCCAAGGGUGACCAGCUGCUUCUAAUAAGCAGCAGAAAAACACUUGAAGGAACAAGACAAAGUAACACUUCUUCAGUACAAAGCCAAGUGUGACCAGAUCCUUCUGACAAACGGCAGAAUGCUGUAAAUGAGGCUUUCAGCUGUCGAUGAGAGGCUUUCAAAAUGAACUGAGAUCAAGCCAGAAUAGCUGCCGGAUUGCGAUAGCAAGUGUGAAACUGGCUGAAGUCUGAUCAAGGACAAUAGGAACGGCAACUUUAAACUAUUGUUUAAAGUUCAAACGCGCUCACCCGGAAGAACGUUAUGUGAGGUUUUAUAAAUAUAACGGGGUGCACUUGUAAUGUGAAAGUGAAUUAAAUUCAAAGAAAAAUUAAAUUAUUUAUUCCUCUUUGUAAAACUUUUUUCCUAUUUCGUACAUGUUGGAGGGUUUUUCAAACUUGUCCCGGUGAGUAAUGAGCCCUAAAUUUCUCCCGUGGCAACGAAAAUAAAUGACACCGUAUUUGAGACCCACGAA
Molecule: RNA transcript, 673 nt
Organism: Rhincodon typus (whale shark)
Lineage: Eukaryota; Metazoa; Chordata; Chondrichthyes; Orectolobiformes; Rhincodontidae
Gene name: histone H2B 7
Exons: 4
Source: RefSeq, a predicted model, not a curated record